RNAcentral lists this ribosomal RNA (505 nucleotides) under Chaetomium sp. DR-2009a. Its description in RNAcentral is "eukaryotic LSU rRNA". The stretch from base 134 to 287 matches the Rfam family "5.8S ribosomal RNA". Lineage: Eukaryota; Fungi; Ascomycota; Sordariomycetes; Sordariales; Chaetomiaceae. The record is from RNAcentral.
UGAACGUACCAUUAUCGUUGCUUCGGCGGGCGGCGCCCAGCGCUCCCAGGCCCCCUCGCGGGGCGCCCGCCGGAGGUUACCUAACUCUUGACAACUGUAUGGCCUCUCUGAGUCUCUAUACUUAAUAAGUUAAAACUUUCAACAACGGAUCUCUUGGUUCUGGCAUCGAUGAAGAACGCAGCGAAAUGCGAUAAGUAAUGUGAAUUGCAGAAUUCAGUGAAUCAUCGAAUCUUUGAACGCACAUUGCGCCCGCCAGUAUUCUGGCGGGCAUGCCUGUUCGAGCGUCAUUUCAACCAUCAAGCCCCAGGCUUGUGUUGGGGACCUGCGGCUGCCGCAGGCCCUGAAAACCAGUGGCGGGCUCGCUAGUCACACCGAGCGUAGUAGCAUACACAUCGCUCAGGGCGUGCUGCGGGUUCCGGCCGUUAAACCCCUUUUUUACCCAAGGUUGACCUCGGAUCAGGUAGGAAGACCCGCUGAACUUAAGCAUAUCAAUAGCCGGGAGGAA